UGCCCCGCCGACUCCGGCGACGCCGAGAACGGGCGUCACGACACUCUUUGUGAACACAGCCCUAGUUACAGAAUCCAAACCAAACAUUCUUCAUAACAUAUUGUUCUCGAUCUGAUCAUUCCCACCCAUAAAAGUAGAAAACAUAACGAGAUGCUAGCAUGUUCAACUGAUCUGCUCACCAUACAAAUGCCUUUUGCAGGC
RNAcentral lists this long non-coding RNA (201 nucleotides) under Hordeum vulgare. RNAcentral's name for it is "long non-coding RNA (HVUL_LNC011787)". Lineage: Eukaryota; Viridiplantae; Streptophyta; Magnoliopsida; Poales; Poaceae. The record is from RNAcentral.